UACAGAGGUCUCAAGCGUUGUUCGGAUUCAUUGGGCGUAAAGGGUGCGUAGGUGGCGUCGUAAGUCAGGUGUGAAAUUUCGGAGCUUAACUCCGAAACUGCAUUUGAUACUGCGGUGCUUGAGGACUGGAGAGGAGACUGGAAUUUACGGUGUAGCAGUGAAAUGCGUAGAGAUCGUAAGGAAGACCAGUGGCGAAGGCGGGUCUCUGGACAGUUCCUGACACUGAGGCACGAAGGCCAGGGGAGCGAACGGG
RNAcentral lists this ribosomal RNA (253 nucleotides) under uncultured bacterium. RNAcentral describes it as "partial 16S ribosomal RNA". It matches the Rfam family "Bacterial small subunit ribosomal RNA", at positions 524 to 776 of the family's 1533-position model. The record is from RNAcentral.